Molecule: long non-coding RNA, 321 nt
Filed under: Cicer arietinum (chickpea)
Lineage: Eukaryota; Viridiplantae; Streptophyta; Magnoliopsida; Fabales; Fabaceae
Description: long non-coding RNA (CARI_LNC002403)
Source: RNAcentral
UUCUUUACGUUAAACUAAUAUUGUUGGUAUUCUCUUUUUUGAAUUCUAUUGAUUCAAUUAGCACUACAUUAAGACAUUGAUAUAAUUGCUUGGAAUGUAGAAAUGGGAAACUUUUGUAACUUUUCUGACAAUGGAAGGUAGUAUUCCUUAGUUACACAAGAUGGUGACUUGUCCUUUUCAAUACUACAACUUGGAUACAAAAAUCCAAAUUUGGGGACAGAAUGAUUCCCCACUUUGCAUGAUGCAAUUAAGAUCUCCAUAAAUCUAUAUCAUUGUUUUGGAUAAAAAUCUAUAAUUUAUAUAUAAUAAUAAAUAAAUUUG